UACGUAGGGUGCAGGCGUUAAUCGGAAUUACUGGGCGUAAAGGGCUCGUAGGCGGCCAACUAAGUCAGACGUGAAAUCCCUCGGCUUAACCGGGGAACUGCGUCUGAUACUGGAUGGCUUGAGAUUGGGAGAGGGAUGCGGAAUUCCAGGUGUAGCGGUGAAAUGCGUAGAUAUCUGGAGGAACACCGGUGGCGAAGGCGGCAUCCUGGACCAACACUGACGCUGAGACGCGAAAGCGUGGGUAGCAAACAGG
Molecule: ribosomal RNA, 253 nt
Filed under: uncultured bacterium
Lineage: Bacteria
Description: partial 16S ribosomal RNA
Rfam family: Bacterial small subunit ribosomal RNA
Source: RNAcentral